This 240-nucleotide long non-coding RNA is filed under the name Capsicum annuum. RNAcentral describes it as "long non-coding RNA (CANN_LNC011849)". Lineage: Eukaryota; Viridiplantae; Streptophyta; Magnoliopsida; Solanales; Solanaceae. The record is from RNAcentral.
UGAUCGAUUCAAAUCUAUGGAGGAGCAAUGGUCUCGCAUGAUGGGCGACAUGGCAUUAUCUUCUCGCUCAUUUAGUAAUCCUACUCUCCCAAAUAGGGACUCAUCUAAUGCUUAAGUGUUUAAUAUUUUGAGAUUUUAGUUAGUUGAAGUGUCGAAACAUUGUCCCACUUUUUUAGAUAGUUAUAUGCUUUAAAUUUUAAACAUUGGUAGACCUUUUCUUAUUGAAGUUAUGAUUUUGCA